This is a non-coding RNA of Saccoglossus kowalevskii, 88 nucleotides long. The record is from the annotation of a RefSeq genome assembly. NCBI's taxonomy places the organism in Eukaryota, Metazoa, Hemichordata, Enteropneusta, Harrimaniidae.
GCUGUGAUGGCCGAGUGGUUAAGGCGUUGUUGGACUUGAAAUCUAAUGGGGUCUCCCCGCGCAGCAGGUUCGAACCCUGCUCGCAGCG